This 380-nucleotide ribosomal RNA is filed under the name uncultured eukaryote. Its description in RNAcentral is "partial 18S ribosomal RNA". It matches the Rfam family "Eukaryotic small subunit ribosomal RNA", at positions 592 to 976 of the family's 1831-position model. The record is from RNAcentral.
CAAUAGCGUAUAUUAAAGUUGUUGCAGUUAAAAAGCUCGUAGUUGGAUUUGUGGCGUACGGUGUGUUCCGGGCACUUGUUGUCUGAGUAACCUGCCGUUGCCAUCCUUGGGUGGAACCUGUGUGGCAUUAGGUUGUCGUGCAGGGGAUGCCCAUCAUUUACUGUGAAAAAAUUAGAGUGUUCAAAGCAGGCUUAUGCCGUUGAAUAUAUUAGCAUGGAAUAAUGAGAUAGGACUUUUUUGCUAUUUUGUUGGUUUGCGCAAAGAGGUAAUGAUUAAUAGGGACAGUUGGGGGUAUUCGUAUUCCAUUGUCAGAGGUGAAAUUCUUGGAUUUUUGGAAGACGAACUACUGCGAAAGCAUUUACCAAGGAUGUUUUCAUUAA